This 376-nucleotide ribosomal RNA is filed under the name uncultured organism. RNAcentral describes it as "partial 16S ribosomal RNA". It matches the Rfam family "Bacterial small subunit ribosomal RNA", at positions 527 to 896 of the family's 1533-position model. The record is from RNAcentral.
GAACCGGACAAACGUUUAUUUCGGAAUUAUUGGGCUUAAAGGGUGCGUAGGCGGCGUGGCAAGUUGGAUGUGAAAUCCCUCGGCUCAACCGAGGAACUGCGUCCAAAACUGCCAUGCUCGAGGGAGACAGAGGUGAGCGGAACUUGCGGUGGAGCGGUGAAAUGCGUUGAUAUCGCAAGGAACACCCGUGGCGAAGGCGGCUCACUGGGUCUCUUCUGACGCUGAGGCACGAAAGCUAGGGGAGCGAACGGGGAUUAGAUACCCCGGUAGUCCUAGCUGUAAACGAUGAGCACUUGGUCGGAGGAUUUUCACUGAUUUUCCGGCCCGGAGCGAAAGCGUUAAGUGCUCCGCCUGGGGGAGUAUGGUCGCAAGGCUG